UACGUAGGGGGCAAGCGUUGUCCGGAAUUAUUGGGCGGAAAGAGCGUGUAGGCGGUCCGGUAAGUCAGCUGUGAAAGUCAAGGGCUCAACCCUUGAAUGCCGGUUGAUACUGUCGGGCUAGAGUCCGGAAGAGGCGAGUGGAAUUCCCGGUGUAGCGGUGAAAUGCGCAGAUAUCGGGAGGAACACCAAUGGCGAAGGCAGCUCGCUGGGACGGUACUGACGCUGAGACGCGAAAGCGUGGGGAGCAAACAGG
This 253-nucleotide ribosomal RNA is filed under the name uncultured bacterium. RNAcentral describes it as "partial 16S ribosomal RNA". It matches the Rfam family "Bacterial small subunit ribosomal RNA", at positions 524 to 776 of the family's 1533-position model. The record is from RNAcentral.